Molecule: transfer RNA, 73 nt
Filed under: Cryptomonas sp.
Lineage: Eukaryota; Cryptophyceae; Cryptomonadales; Cryptomonadaceae
Description: tRNA-Thr
Rfam family: tRNA
About the family: Transfer RNA (tRNA) molecules are approximately 80 nucleotides in length. Their secondary structure includes four short double-helical elements and three loops (D, anti-codon, and T loops).
Source: RNAcentral
GCCAGCUUGGCGAAGAGGCUAACGCGUUGGUUUUGUAAACCAAAGGUCACCAGUUCAAGUCUGGUAGUUGGCA